RNAcentral lists this ribosomal RNA (301 nucleotides) under uncultured bacterium. RNAcentral's name for it is "partial 16S ribosomal RNA". It matches the Rfam family "Bacterial small subunit ribosomal RNA", at positions 509 to 807 of the family's 1533-position model. The record is from RNAcentral.
CAGUAGCCACGGUAAUACGUAGGUGGCAAGCGUUAUCCGGAAUUAUUGGGCGUAAAGCGCGCGUAGGCGGUUUUUUAAGUCUGAUGUGAAAGCCCACGGCUCAACCGUGGAGGGUCAUUGGAAACUGGAAAACUUGAGUGCAGAAGAGGAAAGUGGAAUUCCAUGUGUAGCGGUGAAAUGCGCAGAGAUAUGGAGGAACACCAGUGGCGAAGGCGGCUUUCUGGUCUGUAACUGACGCUGAUGUGCGAAAGCGUGGGGAUCAAACAGGAUUAGAUACCCGCGUAGUCCCUGUCUCUUAUAC